GAGAAGGUACUAGAAUAUAGUUGCUAGAUCCAGAAGCCUCCAAGGCAGCUAACUUGGAUGACUUCCCAAAGGCAGAGCUUUUAAAUGGAGAAGGCUUCUCAGGAGAGGGUUUAGGUGGGGAUGGAGGUGGGGUAGCAGCAGCUGCUUCAUUCAUUGGUUCAGUUGGGAUUGAUGGCGCUGUCGUAGGUGAAAUGUUAGACAUGGGAGCUUUUAUGGCACCAACAUUCCGCUUCAGAUGCAUUUCGAAGUCCCCAAUCUGUCACCAUGAAACAGAUAACUGAUUCAACAAAUAUUGUACUUUGUGGGAAAAUGCAAUUCAUAAAACAACUGAAAACCUGAAGAUGGCUAGCUGCACUGAGACAUAUCUUUGCCAAACUUUUCAGGUUAAUUAAUGAGACACGAAACUAAGUUUAGCAGAAGCAUGCAAGCAUCUGACAUGACAAGAGAAAAGGAAGUAACCUUCAUUUUCGGCUCCGCAACCUCAGUUUCAUCACACACCUCCAGAAUCAAUGCCUGACAGUUUAAGCAAUUAAAUGUUAACUAUCAAUCCAUGUUGAAUCCAAAGGAAGAACUUUUUGUUAGAUCAAUAUGAAAGGAGUAAAAAGUAAGAGUGAACUGUUCUCAAAAAGAAGUGUGAGCAAUGACAAGCAAUAAUGAAAAAGACUCAGUUUGGAGAUUUAGUAAUCACCUCAAAUCCAUUUGGAAAAGUUGCAUUCCGUGAAGUUUUCUUCUCCAAUGAGCCUUUCUUGGUGCUCUCCGGUGCAACUGUGGCAAACAUAAUUAACACUUUUAGCAUGCAAAACAAGACAAAUGCUAAGGCUAAAGUAACUAAAUAAUAGAUUACUUUAAAAUCCAUCUUGAUUUAGGUAUUUAAAAGAAAGUAAAAAUAGUUUUGCUUUUGACAAUCAGUAUAAAUCAUCAAUAAUGAAAAGCCAGGUUUGAAUAUAAGAAUAAACCCAAAUGCAAAUGUGAUUAGUUUUAGCACUGAGUCGUGAUUCAGUGGCAGCUAAACUAUAAUUAAUUAAAUUUUUGAGAAAGGAGAAUCAUGAGAUAAAAUUUUAAUCAGAAGUCAAUAUAAUGUCACCAUUUGACUUUGCUGUUGCCAUAGCUUCAGGCGUCUUUGCAGAGGAUGCUAAAACUACAGUUCGUCUUGUAGAAGAAUUGUUCUUCCCUCCAAACAUCAAGCCUGGAACACAUGAUUUUCUUGAAUUUGGCCAGCAACUAGAAGACAUAUGAAAUGUACUGGGCCUUUCAAGCGUGCAACAAGCUUGUGAAACAGCACUUACAGAAUCUAAAAUUUUAAUAACAGCAUAUGAACUUUCAAUGGCCAAAAAAAGGCAUAUAUGCAAAAUGCAAAUUCAUAAAAUUGCAUACAUAUUGCAACCAUACUUUGCUAAUGUGAAGAAAUUAAAAGCCUAUAUGAUAAAUGGAUGCCAACAAAGAACCAGAUAAGCCAGCAGCGACCAUGUUAUUUGUACCAAGGACAUCACACCACAGAUUAUACACAGCAGAAGAAACACGAUUUUACGUAGUAUCUCAACUAAAAGACUCUAAAGAACAAGAAAUACAACAUUCCAAAUACUGAAGAUGUUCAAAAUACACUUGACGCUAUUGCUUGUCAGUUAGACAAAUACAUAGUUCAGUUGGCAUCUUAAGAAUGAAAUUCAGCACCCACUUUUUCUAUUUUAGUUCUUCCCACUUUCAUUGAUGAGGGAAGACAUUGACCAAUCAAGAAGCUUAAACUUUUCGUUAAAAAAACAUUUCUAUAAUAUACUUAAACUUUAAACCUCAUCGUUCAACAAUAGAAGCAAUCAAUGAAAGGAGCUAAUAUUUUUACCAGAGAAUAAGAUAGUCCCAGUAUCAUACUUCCACCUAAAUAAUGAAACCCAAAUGAAAAUUACAACAUUCCGAGAAGAACUUCCAAAAUUAGCUUCCACUAAACCUCCCCUCAAAGAUUUAUUUCCUUUUUAAUUAUUAUUUGAAUAUCGGUUAUUGGAGCAAGAACCUAGCAUGAUCUCAAAAAUAAACUGUUAUAAAAACAAUAUUGUUGAUGUGCCUCGUCUAUGCCAAGAGCCCUGCGAGUUUACAAGCUCAGGCAUCAAUGGGAAAGCAUAGUACCACCUGAACUAGCUAACUCAAUUGCACCUGGCCAAUUUGUAAACUCGACGGCUGUUCAGGCAUUUGGGCUACCGACUGUGUGGAAAGACAAAACUUCCGCCAAACCCUCAACAAAUAUAAUUAGUAAAAAAAUAACUCUAAUUUUAUUUGAAGGAAAUUAGGUUGACAUAGUUAGAUAGCUUAACAUUCUCAGCUGAUAUUCACACAUUAAAAGAAGUAAAUAGAAAAAAAAAAAAAAAGAAGCAGAUCUCCGCAGUUUUUGAAGCUAAUUUCAAAUUUCUCAGCGUCGAAAGCACUAUAAUUGACACUACAACUAAAAAUAUGACCAAAAUAAAUAAAUACAAUUACUAGAUCCAAAACAUAUAAAAGAACACUCAAAAUUAUUCAGAAAUGGAUAUGAGAGAGAGUUACAGUGAAAGGAGCGGAGAGCAGCGCAGGACUCCAUUGGAAGAGAAGAGAGAGAGAGAGGGGGAAUCGACAAUGAAGGGAAGGGGCAAAAUGGGGAAAAGGGAAAUGAAAUUCAGAGAGGGUUGGUUAUCGAAGCGUUUGGUGGAAGAGUGUUAAAUUAGACAGAGAGAGAGAGAGCGCGCUUCGAAAUGUCCGCCGUUUUUUCCUCAGUUUCUCCACCUUUUAAAACGACUGCACUGCUCUAACGUGCACCAUUGGGUUGUAACCAACUGGUUUAUUUAACUUGGUUUUUAUAAAUUGUAUGCUAAAUAAUAAAAUGCUUUAGUGAUUAAGUGAUAUAGUUUCGUGUUUAAACUUUAGGAUUUAAGUUUUAUUUUUGAAAACUUUGUUAUUUUUGUUUCUAACUUUAUCAUUGAUUGCUUGACUUAAAUUUUAUUUACGGUCAAUUUAUAUUAGAAUUAGCUUGUUGGUUCAAGUAUUCAGGUGUUAACUUGUUUUAUGAUAUUAUGUUCGAACUCCUGUGUGAGCAAAAGAUUAUAAUUUUUGCUUUUAAGUGUGUGUAUCGGUGGUGUAGUAGAAUUGAAAGUCUAUAGUAAUGAAUGAGAGUUAACGGGUUGAUUUUAGUGGGAUUUGUUGGUUAGUGUGAUAGUAGUGUGAUAGUAAGGAGUUAAGCUUUUAUUUGAGUUAUUUUUUAAAAUUUUAAAUUUUUAUUCUUUUUCCCAAACUCUUUUUCUUCUUGACUUUUUUUUCUCUCUUUCUCUGCAAACCUUUUGCUUCUUCUUUUCUUUGAAUUCUCUUCGCAAAAUGUUCGUUCAAAUCGUUGCGUUUUGGUUUCGUGUUCCCUGUUCAGAUUAGUAGGUAAGUGUUUUUUAAAUUCGUGUAAUACUGGAUUUGUUUUCGGGUGUGUUAAUGUUGUGAACUCUUGUGGUAGGUGUUAAUCAAGGGGAUCGAAAUUUUUCUUUACCGAGUAGUUGUGGUUGGUCUAACGUAUCUGUUUCAAUAAGUAGUUAAACUCUGGAAGGAUUGUUUUUGGUUUAUAAGGCUAAGUGUUUUUGGUUUAUAAGGCUAAUACUUUCGAGUAUGUCGUUUGAGGUUUUGGUAAUCCGGUGAUUCAAUACAUAGAAUUAAUCAUUUGUAUGAUGUUUCUAGGUUCCAGAGGUUUCGUGGUGGUAUUCACGUCGAAAAUGAACCAAGUGUGUAACGAAAAACUCGAAAAACGGUGAUCGACAAAAGCCAAAAAUUGGGUUUGUCGAGCUACACGACCGUGUGUCUAGACAUGUGGUAGGCCGUGUGCGACACACGGCCGUGUGAUAGGUGUGUCUGAGGCCGUGUGAGGCUGUGUCACAUUUUGGGAGGCUAUUUCGAGCGUGUAGGCCACACGGGUAAGGUCAUUCCAGGCGUGUGGGCCACACGGGCAUGUGAGCCCAAAUUUAAUAGUUUCUCUUAGGGUCGUACAUGUCAUCCCUAUCAACUGUGGGCCUUUCGAGGGGUCAGUAUGGGCUUAAGUAAGCCUUAAAGCAUGAAAUUGGAUAAACUGUUUGUAUGCUAUCUAGCAUAAGUAAUACCUAAAUGCAUGUAACAUAAUGCAAAAUGUAUGACCUAUUAUGUAUAUACAUGUCUAUUAUCUGUUAUUCGAGCAUGUUUGAUAUAAUAAUUCUGGUAUCUAGGAUCUGAUAAUUCUAUUUUAUCUGGUAUGCAGUUGUAUCUGACUAUAGGGCAGGAUAUGUGAUGUAACAUCCUGAUUUUGGGCUUAGUCGGAACAGUGGUUUCAGGACCACAAAUUCGACGAGGAAAAUUUUAUUUUUAUUAUAUUUUUAUGGUCUACGAUUUCACGGAAUGAUUUCGUGAAAAUUUUGUUCAAAAAUUUCGACGUUUGGGCACUCAAUUUGGUCAAAAGGACUAAAUUGUAAAAAGUGAAAAAGUUGAGUUUUACAUGUUAGAAGUGUUUAAUUGUUAUGAGUUUUUAAAUCAAAGGUCCUUAAAUGGUAAUUAGACCAUUUUGAAGUUUGUGGACAAAAAUUGGACAUGGAUGGAAUUUUUUUGAAAGUUUAGUAUUAAGGGCAUUUUGGUAAUUUGCAUAUUAAAUGAUAUAAAAUGGGAAAAAUAACACAAAAUGGUCAUCUUCUCCAUAUGGAGGCCGAAAUUAGCAUGGGGGAAGCCAUGGCUAGGGUUUUCAAGCUUUCCAAGCUCAAUAGUAAGUCCGUUCUAGCCCCGUUUUUCAAGUUCUUUACGUUUUUGGAAUCCCGGUAACUUGAUUAAGCUUAUGCUAGCAAUAAUUCAACCUAGGGUUCGUAUUUGGAAAAAUACCCAUAGGUAAAAUUUGUGUAUUUUGGUAUUUUAUUAUAUAAUAUGAGGUUUUAAAUUAUAUUAGACAACUUGUGCUACUCGAUUUUAAGUGAAAACGAGUAAAAGGGUUUAAUCGGUAAAAAUACCUAAUAGUCAUAAGUGCAUUUAGAGUGAGAAUUUGAUGUUGUCAUAGAAGGGAAAAAUGAUCAGCAUGUCAUAAAACAUAAGAAUAAGGGAUGAAGUUUAAUUCCCGAGCCUAGGGGCAAAAGUGUAAUUAUGCAAAAGUUUAGGGGCAAAAUGGUAAUUUUACCAAAGUUCGUAUUAAAUGCUAUUUUGAUGAAUGUAUGUAUUAAAUAAAUUAAUUUGAUAUUAUAGAUCAAGAGAAACGAGAUUCAAGUCGUGAUCGAGGGAAAAACAAAGUUUACAAGGAAUAGGCCCGAUUGCUAAUAUUUUGUAUCGAGGUAAGUUCGUAUGAUAAUAAUAAUGCAAUGUUAUGUUUGAAUUAUAUUUCUUACUAUUAUUGCAUAUAUUGUAUGAUUUAAUAUAUUGGAAAAGUUGAUGGAAUGGUGUUUAUGACGUAGAAAUAUGACAUGAAAGAAUGUUACAUGAAGUGCAAGAAAAUGAUGAUACAUGACAAGUGAUAUAUGAAAUAUGUGAUUUAUGUUAUGUAAAUUCUUAAAAGCUGAUUUUCUAUUUGAGUUGUGUCUUAUUAUACUAUGAAUGGACAAUUGGUACUAUGGAUAGUGAGAUCGACACUUCAAGUAAGUUCGUAUAUAAAUAAUCUAUCGAUUCUUUUUAUGUUAAUAUAUUUUGAUAUCAUAUGAAAUGUGGCUGCCUAUCAAAUGAUUAUUUGAUGUAAAUUAUGAAUUUAAAUUGAUUACGGACAAUUUAGUAAAAUGUUGAAAAGUGAGGACUUUCCCGGUUGAACCUUCGGAAUAGAAACAAUACCAAUGAGCUAUUGUGAGGUCACGUGUGUAGUACUAAGUGCAGGCUACUACGUGUACCGGAUAACUGGUCGCAUGUGUAGUACUAAGUGCAGGCUAUUAUGCGUACCAGAUAGCUUCGGCUACAAGUGUGGAAAUGAGAAAAUGUGCAGGCAAUUGUGUAUCUGUUAUUAUUCCGAUCAGUUCAACGGGAAAUUGAUUAAGUGAAAAUAAAUGUGAAAGUGAUUAUGUGAUGAACAAGUGCAAGUAUAUGUUUAUUUGAAUCUAUGAGCAAUAUGCUCGAUAUUUGAGCGAACCUCGGUAAAAUGGAAGGGAUUAAGUGAAAUUGUGCAAAAGUAAACUUUAGUAGUAAAACAAUGUUGGACAGCAACAGUGCAUGAAUUUGAAAAUUUACCAAAAAUUGUGUAAGUUGAAUUAAAUUUCAAAUAAAAUAUGUAAUUAAAUUUUAUUGAGUCUAUUUUCAAAUAAAAGAAACAGGGGAAGCAAAAGAAUUCCAUAUUAUGUGAUAUUUGAAUUCUUGUGAGAUAGUGUCUGAAUGAAUUCGAGAUCCCCUAUUCUGACUUGGAAAAAUUGUUAAAAAUUAUAGAAAAAUAAUUUUGGGGUAUAAUUUAUAUUCCUAGAAUCUUGGAUGAGUCUACUUUUAAUUAAAACAAACAAGAACAUCAUCCGAGUUUUGUACUAUGAGAUAAAUAAAUUUUAGUGAAGAAAGGUCGAAGCUGUUAAACAGCAAAACAGGGGAGAUUUUGAAUAAUAAACUGUACUUAUUGGCUGGACUAAAAAUUUUGAAAAUUUUAUGGUGGAAAUAUAUAUGAGUCUAGUUUUUUUGAAAAUUUACGGAUCUUAAUUUGGAGUUCCGUAACUCUGAAUAUAAAUGAUUUAGUGACUAUUACUCAAGAAAACAGCUUAACCAGAACAUGUGUAAAUGUACAAAUGAGGUAGUUUUAUUGUGGGAAGCAUGUUAGUAAAUUGCUUAUUAUUAUUUCAUGUGAGCUUACUAAGCAUAAAGCUUACCCCCCUCCUUUCCAUUUCUUUUAGUGUUGUCAGGUUAGCUCAGGGUUGGAGACCGUCGGAGGCAGCAUCACACUAUCAAGCCAACACCUUGACAGUAUAAACACAUAUGCUAGAUUUAUCAAGUGAGUGGCAUGUAUAGGGACCUAAUUUUAUAACAUGUGUUAUUAUUAUUUGGCCAAAUAUAUUGGUCUUUAGUGAGCUAAUGAUUCUGACUUAUAAAUCUAGCUAUUUAUGUUAUGUUUGAUAUUGGUGAUGUGCAUAUGCUUGGUUGUCAUGCAUGGUUGGUAAUAAGUUGUUUAAGUUGUUUAGUUGAUGAAUUAAGUUUAGAAACACUUCGUGCUUGACUCCGGCAAUGGUCUCGGGUACGGGGGCGUUACAUGUGACAUGUGGAGGAAGUAUUCUGUGAGGCGAUAUCUCGCUAAUAUACUGGCAGCACAGUUGCGAUUUUUCUAAAAAGUGUCGUAUGAACACUAUGUGGUGUGUAUGGCUGGGUGGGUGUUUUAUAUCCACGUGGUAUGUUGGGAUGGUCGGAGUUGGUGUGUAAAGGAUGGGGGUAGGACUAUGCAUAUCUAUAUCUGUUUGAUUCUGUUUAAAAUCUGAUUUUGUAAAAGGGAUUUAUGUUUGCAUCUGUUCUGUCAUGUGAUUGAAUUUAAAAUUAUAUUUCUGAUGAGUUACACACUGAGUUUCAUGACUGACUCUUUGUUUGUUCGAUCUGUUCAGGUAACCCUCAGACUUAGGAGGGUCUGUGCGACAGAAGCCCAGUGGUAACCACAUUUCCGUAUAAAUUUCAUGCUUUUAAAAUUAGUUUAAACUUUUCUGAUUUUUUUUAGAGUUUUGUAAUUUUAAAUCUCUAGACAUUUGGGUUUAAUUUUUGGAUUUGGAUUUGAUUUGAAAUUUCUUGCACAACGUUUGACAAAACGAUUUACGAAAACAAAUGUUUUAUGUAACCAAACAUUUUUUUUUUGCGGACACAAAUUUGGUUUUCAAAAUAUAUAAACGACUAAAAACUUUCACUGCAAAUUAUCUGUUGUAUUGAAAGAGUAAACAACCGACGGUUUCCUCUUAUGAGUGUAAUAACAUGUUUUUAAAAAUAAGUGGUCUCUUAAAGAAAUAAAAAGGUACGAUGUUUUUAAAGAAAAAUAUGGAAUUUUAACUUUUCUUCGUAAUAUUUUCAGAUUCAGCCAUAACAUCUAGGCUGGGUUUGGGGUGUUACAGGGGUGGUGGCUACCUCCUACUUACAUGGCACCCUUUAAAGUUUUGACAGAUAAAAUUGAAUCAAAUCAAUAAAAAUAAAAAAAUAUAUAAUUAAAUAAAUUUACUUGGAACCAAUAUUUAAAAAAGUAAAUUAAGUUGUCAUUGAGUCUUAGCUCGAUUGACAUGGGUUCGAGUGUGCUAAAGCGCAUUAUCCUCCUAUUUAUGGGUUAGGGAAAGGUUAUACAUAAUUCUAAGCAUUGUGUCUAAAAAGAGUAGAAAUGAUCAAAAUCUAUUUGUAUCUUUGAGAGCUUGUCUCCAGGCAUAAAGCAUCAAAGCUAAAGUUUUGCUUUAGGGGUGAAAUUUCUCGAGACAAAACUUUCUAAGUCUUGAGAUAUGUUCAUGAUCUCUCGAAACAUCAUUCAUGUUGUCUUAAGACACCCUACUCUAACAUUCAUAUUUUUACCUUGAUGUGCUCGAGAAAUCCCUUCUAUGUCAAAGACAUAAACCUACAUAUUAUUUUAAAUACGCAAAAUCAAUUUUCCCAACAGUUAGAAACUCUCAAAAAUCAACGAAAGAAUUAUGGAUCAAGGACACUCAAAUGAAGACAAAAAGAAAUAAGCGUAGAACAAAAAUCCAAUCAUUUUGCCUUGUUAUUCUUAUUUCAUUAGGUGUCACUUAGGAAUUGUAAUAUAAAUAUAAAAUAUUCUAAAUAUGAUUAAAAAUAGAAAAUACAUGACAAAUUAAUAUUAGGGAUCUCAAUGAAUAGUGUAGAUUCGGAUAUUUGCAAAUUUUAAUUAUUUUUUAUAGAUUUGGAUAUUGCAUAUUCAAAAAAAAUUCAAGUUUAGAUACUUUGAUUACUAUCCAUAAUUGAUGCAAAUAUUAACUCUCGUAUAACAAUUAUUCAAGAAAUGUAUGUGAAUUUAGAUAAUAAAUAAUCAGAUUCACUUAAAUUUUGUAUGUAACAAAUUCGGAUAAUUUAAUUAAUUUUAAUAAUACUAUUCAAAUUUAAAAUAGAUUUAUAAAUUUAAAUUUGACAAGAAUCCUAAACGUUCAAUCAAUUUAAACUAUUUUUUUUAAAAUCACAUUGAACCUAUUUAACGGACCGAUUGGAUUGAGAUAUCAAUAUGAAAUAAGAGACUAGAUAAUUCGCGAAUCAAUAGUUAAAUAUAUACUUUUUACCUUUUUCAGCCACUUCCCUCUAACCUUCCCCUAUCUAUAAAUCAAGGGGUUUUUUACCUAUAUAAUAUAAAAUAAUUAAAAAAAUACCAAAACGGUACUAAGGCCAAAUUUUUGACAGUGGCGUGACCACCCUGCCAUCUGACAUCUGCAGUAAAAAAAAGCUGAAAUAACUGGAAAAAAAAAGUUGAAUCUAAAAAAAAUUAAAAAAAAAUUAAAAUACUCACUGGUCAAGCCUCUGUCAGAAGCGACACUUGUGAAGCCUCUGCCAGAGCGGCACCAGUUGGUGACAUGGCAGACGUGGCACCCACACCCCUAAUCCCCUAUUUAAGCCCCUUCCUUCCCUCCCUCUUCUUCUCCUUUUUUUCUUUUUUCUUUCCCUCACCAGCCGACUCCUUCUCCUUCUUCUUCUUCUCUUCUUUCUUUUCUUCUUCUCCCUCUUUCUUUUCUUCAUCCCGAAAUAAAGUUGAGGACCAUAAUAUAUGGUCCCAAACACAGAAAAAACAAAAGGGCUGUGCAUGAGGCCAGUGCCGCCUGUGGCAGGCACACCACCAGUGCCGCCUGUGGAAGGCACACCACCAGUUCCAGCUUUUUUUUUUCAGAUUCAGCUUUUUUUUUCAAAUUCAGCCUUUUUUUUCAGUUUUUUUUACUGUAGAUAUCAGCUGGCAGGGUGGUCACACCAUUGCCACAGGCGGCACCACCCUAUCCAUACCAUUUCCGUCAAUAAUUUGACCUUAGUACCAUUUUGGUAUUUUUAUUAUUAUUUUAUGUUAUAUAGGUAAAAAAACUCAUAAAUCAAGCUAUCCUAAGCUUAAUGAAACUUCUAUCCAACUUCCCCUUUUUCACUUUAAAAAUACUUUAAAUAAAAAAUAAUAUUCUUCUCAAUCUCACACAGCCUUCAACCGCGUUAAAUUCCCAUCAAAACUAAAACCCAGGAAAGUCAGAUCACCGUCAAAACCACAGUGUUCACACCGCCCACCCCCACGCGCUUCCUUUACCCGCUGACCAUCCUUUUAUAUGUCUUAUUUGGUUCCAUGUAUAUAUAUAUGCCUAACUCCAAUACCCUUUGUUCCCAUCCUCCAAAUAUGGACAUUUCUUCUUUCUCAUUUCUUAGUCCCGAAGAUUUUUGUAGUAUUAGUACUAACCCCUGGUUCCAAGACCUUGAUAACGGGUUCAACAAAAGGCGCAAGAAGGAAGACAAUUCCAAGGGUGGCUUUGGCAAUGGGUGUAUCAAUGAAGAAGGAUUGAAGAAGAGUGGAUAUGGUGAUAUACUAGCUUCUUUGUUGUUAUUAGAAGAAGAAGCUAAGCAAGAAGAAGCAGAGUGGAUGAGUGAAUCCCAACAAGAGAAAGCUUUGUUUGAAUCCAAUCACAAAAGAAAAGUUCAAGCGAUGAAUGAGUUUUACGAUCAGCUUCAACAACAUUACUCUGAAACUGUGAAACCAUCUUGGAAAUCUGUGUCUGCUUUGGCUGCCACUGUUGCAACGACUUCAGGGAAUGACACGACAACGAAGGCGGAGGUGGCAGUGGCGGGGUUUCAACAAAGGAGGUUAUGGGUGAAAGAUCGAUCAAAGGAUUGGUGGGAUCGUUGUAACCAUCAAGAUUUCCCGGAGGAAGAGUUCCGAAAGGCCUUUCGGAUGAGUAAAUCGACGUUCGGGUUAAUAUGCAGGGAAUUAGAGCCGGUGGUGAUGAAGAAGAAUACUAUGCUGAGAGAUGCAAUACCUGUUCGACAACGAGUAGCUGUUUGUAUAUGGAGGUUGGCAACAGGGGAGCCACUUAGGCUUGUUUCAAAACGAUUUGGACUUGGGAUUUCAACUUGUCAUAAAGCUGGUAUUAGAGGUAUGUUCAGCGAUAAACAAUGUCUUGAUGCCCAAGUUUCUUCAGUGGCCUGAUGAGAAGAAAAUGAAAGAAAUUAAUGAAGAAUUUGAGUUGAUAUCGGGGGUACCAAAUAUAGGAGGUUCAUUGUAUACAACUCAUGUACCAAUUAUAGCACCUAAAGUUAAUGUAGCAGCUUAUUUCAAUAGAAAACAUACAGAAAGGAACCAGAAGCCUUCUUAUUCAAUUACAGUACAGGGAGUGGUUGAUCAAAAAGGGAUUUUCACAGAUGUUUGUAUUGGAUGGCCUGGUUCAAUGCCUGAUGAUCAAGUGUUAGAGAAGUCUGCUUUGUUCCAAAAGGGUUUGAAGGAUGUUUGGAUUGUUGGGAAUUCUGGGUAUCCUUUAAUGGAUUGGGUUUUGGCCCCUUAUACACAUCAAAAUUUGACUUGGGCUCAACAUGGUUUCAAUGAAAAAAUGGGUGCGGUUCAAAAUGUUGCUAAAGAAGCAUUUGCUAGAUUAAAAGGGAGGUGGUCUUGCUUACAAAGGAGAACUGAGGUGAAGCUUCAAGAGUUGCCAAUAGUGCUUGGAGCUUGCUGUGCUUUGCAUAAUAUUUGUGAGAUGAACAAUGAAGAGAUGGACCCCGAAUUACAGUUUGAGAUAUUUGAUGAUGAGAUGAUAGCUGAAAAUAACUUGAGAUAUUCUAAUGCUGUGCUUGCUAGGGAUAAUAUUGCCCAUAAUCUGUUACACCACGGUCUUGGUGGAACUAGUCUUCUGUAGUAUUUCAAUAACAUGUCAUAGCCCAUUAUGUAAAACUCAAAGCAACAAAAGUCUAAAAGCUUAUUACACAAAAGAAUAUAGGUUAUACAAUUGAUAAACCUCUCUUCAAUCUAUAGUAUGCUUAUAUAUUGUUCUAUGGUAAUCCUGGGAAUUCAAUAGACUAGUAACAUUGAGUACAGAUAACCAACUACACCGGCUCGGGGCACUCCAUAAGUAAAACCACAAAAUGAUGUGAGAAAAGAAAAUGCAUACCCAAGGACUUUGUGACAUUGUCUCUGCAAAAGUAUUAUAGGUAGGAGAAAGAGAUUAGUCGAUGCCAUGAAAUGAUGGCAAAACUGCGAAGAGUGGAUCUCCGUAACCAACGGCAUCUGUUCAACACAGUUGAAACAAAGGCAACAGUUAAAUGCAAAUCAACUUUAAUCUAUUCUCCAGUAAUUAUGCAUGUGGCAUUGCCAUACAAAGAUGUUUUAGACAUUUAAACCGAAAUAAAUAUGAAAUGCACAGAUAAAAUUAUACCUCCAUCUUCGAAGAGGAUCUUUAAGACUGUUCCAGCCAUAUCAGACUGUUUUAACAAAUACAAAACACAAACCAGUGAACACCUACUUAAUGUGUAUAUAUAUAUAACACUAACAAGUGGAGAUAAAUUGAAUUCACCUUAACAGGAAGUUCAAAACCAAAUUGAUUCAAGAAUCCUAUCACUUGUCCUUCUUUGAUCAAAUCACCCUGCAAGUAUUUAUCACUUACGAGGAUCAAGAAAAGCCAAGUGAAGAUACAAGGUCAUGAUAGUAAGAAAUCUACAACAUCAGCAUUAUCUGUAAUCAAAGAAUGUUUGAAAUGUUUUAGGUCAGAAUGCCCAAUUGACACUGAAAUAAUACCUCCUUACAGAUAGGAGGUUGCCUUUUUCCCUUGACUGUUCUACCUCUUUGGAAUAAACCAACCUGCAGUAAAGUGAUGCAACUUAAAAACGAUUUUCAAAGGGAUAUAGGAUACAACAUAACCGUAGCUCUUCAUAAACAGCACAUACAACGGGAGAAGGUACUAGAAUAUAGUUGCUAGAUCCAGAAGCCUCCAAGGCAGCUAACUUGGAUGACUUCCCAAAGGCAGAGCUUUUAAAUGGAGAAGGCUUCUCAGGAGAGGGUUUAGGUGGGGAUGGAGGUGGGGUAGCAGCAGCUGCUUCAUUCAUUGGUUCAGUUGGGAUUGAUGGGGCUGUUGUAGGUGAAAUGUUAGACAUGGGAGCUUUUGUGGCACCAACAUUCCGCUUCAGAUGCAUUUCGAAGUCUCCAAUCU
This 13013-nucleotide long non-coding RNA is filed under the name Gossypium barbadense (sea-island cotton). RNAcentral describes it as "long non-coding RNA (GBAR_LNC012080)". Lineage: Eukaryota; Viridiplantae; Streptophyta; Magnoliopsida; Malvales; Malvaceae. The record is from RNAcentral.